GAUGAACGCUGGCGGCGUGCUUAAUACAUGCAAGUCGAACGAAGCACCUUGGACAGAAUCCUUCGGGAGGAAGACCAUUGUGACUGAGUGGCGGACGGGUGAGUAACGCGUGGGUAACCUGCCUUGUACAGGGGGAUAACAGUUGGAAACGACUGCUAAUACCGCAUAAGCGCACAGUACCGCAUGGUACGGUGUGAAAAACUCCGGUGGUACAAGAUGGACCCGCGUUUGAUUAGCUAGUUGGUGAGGUAACGGCCCACCAAGGCGACGAUCAGUAGCCGACUUGAGAGAGUGAUCGGCCACAUUGGGACUGAGACACGGCCCAAACUCCUACGGGAGGCAGCAGUAGGGAAUAUUGCACAAUGGGGGAAACCCUGAUGCAGCGACGCCGCGUGAAGGAAGAAGUAUUUCGGUAUGUAAACUUCUAUCAGCAAGGAAGAAAAUGACG
Molecule: ribosomal RNA, 448 nt
Filed under: uncultured bacterium
Lineage: Bacteria
Description: bacterial SSU rRNA
Rfam family: Bacterial small subunit ribosomal RNA
Source: RNAcentral